This 372-nucleotide ribosomal RNA is filed under the name uncultured bacterium. RNAcentral's name for it is "bacterial SSU rRNA". It matches the Rfam family "Bacterial small subunit ribosomal RNA", at positions 30 to 407 of the family's 1533-position model. The record is from RNAcentral.
CCUGAACGCUGGCGGCGUGGCUAAGACAUGCAAGUCGAACGGACGUAGCAAUACGUCAGUGGCGGACGGGUGAGUAAUGUAUCGCUAAUGUACCCAGGAGUUUGGGAUAGCUGACCGAAAGGUCAGGUAAUACCGGAUGACAUCCCCUUGUCGCAUGGCGAGGGUCUCAAAGGAGCAAUCCGCUCUGGGAGCAGGCGAUAUCGUAUCAGGUAGUUGGGAGGUAACGGCUCACCAAGCCGACGACGCGUAGCUGGUCUGAGAGGACGGCCAGCCACAUCGGGACUGAGACACUGCCCGGACUCCUACGGGGGCGUGCAGUAACGAAUCUUCCACAAUGCACGAAAGUAGUGAUGGAGCGACGCCGCGUGUAGG